This is a long non-coding RNA of Acanthopagrus latus (yellowfin seabream), 2175 nucleotides long. RefSeq lists it as uncharacterized. NCBI's taxonomy places the organism in Eukaryota, Metazoa, Chordata, Actinopteri, Spariformes, Sparidae. The record is from RefSeq and is a predicted model, not a curated record. The transcript is spliced from 6 exons.
GGCAUAUCGGAGGAGGAAGAAACUCAACAAGUCCGGGCUUGUCUUCAAGUCACCUGUGGCUUCUGAACCAGAGGCCCCCUCGUUAACUUCCAUGGGGAGGACGGAGGUGAAACAGGCCCCUUAACGCAGGCGGACAGGUGUGAAAUCACGAGACAUUAAAUAAGCAGCGCGACAGUGCGGGCUGCUGCACACCCAGGCUGGUUGUAUAACGGGGAUUCACCUCAGCUGAACUUGACGCAUCUGGUUCAUCGGCGGCGCAGGACGCGCGGCGCAGUCUGCAGCCUGUUUGUCCCCACUGAACCGAGCUGGACGGCCGCGGAGAGAGACACGGACACGGGGGGUGGGGGGAGCACAACUCUUCCGUGGUCCGGUUGCCGCUCACAGAGAUCGUCUCCCACCACGUCCAGACAUGACGACUUUCUCUACAAUUAUUGUCGCCUUGUGCUUUUUAUUUUCUGCUCUAUUUGGGUCCAGACAAUAGGGGGACGAGACACCGUCUAGAAAAUAUAAAGCCCGCGGACUUCGGAGUUUGGGCAUCCCGAAGGAAGAGACCAUCCGACUUGAACUUGAGACCUGUCGGACAAGUGAGGACACAAGCAGACGCCGAACCACGAGGCCUCAGAUACUGCAAUGCAGAGAGGAUAUGUGGACAUGCUGCGUACAGCUACGGAGGGAAUCCAGCACAAUGAGCGGCGGAGAUCUCAGCGCUUUAUCCCGGAUAGCCGACUGACUGCGGUUUGUGUGCCAGUUGCCUCAAAGUCUCAGUGCCUCAUUAUUACGGAAUGACUUAAUUUUUCCUGCUCAGACCCCAGUGUCAAGGCCGAGGAAACCUGAGAGGAAGCGAGCUGACAGACCGCAAAGGACUGAAGCCGUCUCUGCAGAGAGGAGGUGACCUGUCGAGCAUCAGUGACUUUUAAGGAAGUAUUUUGACAGCUUUGAUAUGAUCUCAGUUUGUGACACACAGUUAGUUCACUCUCACAUCAAAUUGGAUAUCCUCUAAAUAUAGGAAGCACAAAAACCACAAUAAAACUACAGUGAUGAUAAUCAAAAAUACAUGAACCCUACUUACAAAAUCACAAUCAAAAAUUCACAAAUGUCCAAUGAGUUAAAAACAGACUAUUUUUCUUUAUUUAAAAAGGUAUUAAAUAUUAAACGAUUAAAUGUAGUGCAGCAGAUUAAUUCAUCUGUUUAUCUGUGCUUUUGUCGGGCCUUUUGUCGUUUUGAGUUCGUCUCCCCACAGCUCCACUGUCAGCCACCAGAGAAGUCUGCAGGAGACAUACUGUCCUUUGGGGUGAGGUAGUAGGUUGUAUAGUUUUAGGGUCAUUCCCAAGCUGUCAGAUGACUAUACAACUUACUGUCUUUCCUGGAGCGACUGUGAUGGCAGCAGCAUCAUCAUCGUGAAAAUACAACCACUGCAAUUCAUCAGGAAGGAGGCAAUAACUUGUAGCGUGUAGGCUGUCCAUUUUUACUGCCUGACAUUGAUUAGCGCAUGUUUCUGAAAUUUAGACACUUUGUGGAAUUUUAAACAGAACUUUUUAUCCUAUUUUUUGCCUAUUAAAGUGUUUGAAUGUGCUUAUUUUAAUUGCAAAUGCUCUAACAACCUGUCUCCAUUAGCUGCUACUUAGUAUUCGAAUGGUUUUCACUUGUAUCCAAACGCAACAUUUUAACUAAUGUUUUCAUCAUAAUUUUUGCUGCAUGUGUUGUAAUAACUACAACGUCUUCAUCUACACAGCAAGCGGAUCAUCCUCCUACCCACUCGGGUGACUUAUGGUGUUCGUACAGGGUGAGGUAGUAGGUUGUGUGGUUUCAGGGUUGUGAUUUUACCCCAUCAGGAGCUAACUAUACAACCUACUGCCUUCCCUGGAGGGCAGCAAUACAUCACAGGAGGGGAGUGCACGUGUCAUUAGGAAGAAACUGGCUCUCGUUAUGUCAAGAAUGGCUUUUUAUUUCUAAGGUCUCAUUGAAUAGGUGAGUGGUGCCAAAUCACCAAAUGCAUUUCAUUGCAACAUGAGUUACUUUACAGUAUGUAACUGCAUGUAUGAAUGUGUGUAUGGAUUCAUGGAAAGUGCUGUCGACCUUCGAAACUGUAUUUUUAGGAUCAGUGGUGUUCUAACUUUGUACUGUUUUACAAAUAAAUGAAUAAAGACUGGAUAUGAAAUAAUGUAAGAACAAUGA